GACUCCUUACUUAUAUUUAUGAGAUAAUAAAAUAUGAAAAACCUCUAUCAAGAAUUGGUUUACAUAGGAAUUGAGGACUUAUUCAUGUUCAAACAAGUUUCAAAAAUAUUAUUUUGACCGUUGUAGGUAUACGAGGAUAUAUAUGUGUAAUAUGUGUUUAUAGUACUUAAUAAAGAAAAUAAUAAUAAUAACAAUAAUAAAAUACAUAUUUUGUAUCCAAAACGAUCCAUUUUUCUUCUUCUCUCCCAUUUAUUUUCUUUUCUUCCCGCUUGCGCCCACCUCACCUCACGUCUCCUUCUCUGUUCAAGCUGUCCCUCCCCUUCCUCACAAUUUUCCAUCUGCCUGAGCAGUAGUCCAAUCGUCCUCCACCGCCCUUGACCGACGGCAGCUCCUUUUCCUUCCAUUUCUUGCCCGAAAAAUUGAAGAAAAAAGGGAUAUAGGCUGCCAUUUCUUCUUGGGGCUGUUGCAGGUGUUGUGGCUCUACAGGGCUGCUACCAUUAGCUUUCUCAAGCUCCAAGCAGCCCUUUUGGACCUCCUUUGCAGUUGCCAUCGCCGGAAAUGGGAGGAGGAGCUUCGCCGGAGCAGCGACUUUCUUGGUUUUUUUUUUGAAAGAUCGGUAAAGAGUUAGGUGAAAAUAAUUACAUAUUCGGACUCCUUGCGUCGAGAUCUUCGAGUAGGUGGUCUCAGAUCGCGUUUUCGACGACGUCGAAUUUUCCGGCCACCGAGGGUGCAGGCGCCUCGAUUUGCGUGCCGAGGGGCAGAAUGUUUGUCACAUUAUUUGGAGAAUUUUGGUGGUAUUGGUUCGUUAAAACUCUUUUCGGAUAAUAACUUGUGAAUUUUUAAUGUGAAUUGUUGUAUUAAAAUUAAAAUAUUUAAUCCUGUUGAAUUAUCGUUAAAUUGUGAGUUGUUAAAUGAUUAUAGGACCGUUAAAUUAUUUAAAAGCUCAGAGUUAAUUAUUGUGGUGAUAUCGUGUGGCGGAGAAUUAUUUGAAUGUCGAUAUAUUAAUUAUUGGAAUUAAGAGACUGCAAUAAAUUAAAUAAAUUCGAAUAUUAUGAAAAUUAAUUGUUGAUUAUGUUAUGAAAUUGAUCUGCUUAGGCAUAAAAUGAAAUUUAGAGGUUCAAAUGAAUUUUGGGAUUUAUAUAGAAGUGAUUUUUCUGCAGAUUCCAGACUCGUUUUACAAGGCGGAGUAGUCCGAUUUUAGAGAAAAUGAUGUCGAAUUUCAGACAAUUUUUUUAAAAAUUUGUUACAUGUCCAUCAUGUUUAAUCAUUUAUCCGAUUUCAAUCAAGUUGGUUCAAAUUCUUUUUUUUAUUUUUUUUAUUCUCACUUAUAUUAGGUAAUGGUAAUUUUAGUAUUUUUUAUAUGUUGCAAACUUGAGAAUUUUAU
Molecule: long non-coding RNA, 1384 nt
Filed under: Ricinus communis (castor bean)
Lineage: Eukaryota; Viridiplantae; Streptophyta; Magnoliopsida; Malpighiales; Euphorbiaceae
Description: long non-coding RNA (RCOM_LNC002636)
Source: RNAcentral